UCACCCAGGAACUUCUCACAAGCUAUGUGUGCCCACAGCAUAUGCUGCAGCACACCAAUAAAAGGAUGCUUGGGAGCCCCCUAUUCAGCCCUGGACCAGGCCUAGGGCCCAGCAGAGCCACUGGCCCAGCCACAGGCAGGAGCAGGAGGGCUCCCUGGAACACCAGCUGGGAAGCAGUGACCAAGUAAACUCCAGAGACCCUUCCGGCUCCCUCACUCU
This is a long non-coding RNA of Homo sapiens (human), 219 nucleotides long. RefSeq lists it as uncharacterized. The transcript has 3 exons. The record is from RefSeq and is a predicted model, not a curated record. Lineage: Eukaryota; Metazoa; Chordata; Mammalia; Primates; Hominidae.